UCUGAAGAACGGAUGUCGUGCCAAACAGAUGAAGAGAAAAUCCACUGAACGGGUGGAGCAGAAAGAUGGAUGUUUAUUUAGGAGAUGUUACUGUUCUGAUUCAGGAUCCCGUUUUCUUUUCCUUAUUUUCUUUUCAGUAUGAGGUGUUUUCAAGAAAGGACAGCUAAUUCUGAAAAAUGGUAAAAAUCAAGCCAAACGCAUGAAUGUGAGCAGACAUCUGAGCUAAUGUCUAGGAUCAGGAGCCUUUUCUGUGGGCAUGCUGCUCCUAAAUCAGAUGACCUUGGCACCGGGACACAGCCGACAGUCUCAGAGCAAAAGAGCCAUCCGUCACACUGCAGACAGUCUGCCUGUCACUCAUGUCUCUGAAAACCCAGAAUGAUGUCUCAGGGAGCCAUAUGGAGAUGAGAUCCAUUAUUUACUCCAAGAGGAGUUGUGAUUCAUGGGUUAGUGAUGUGAGUUAAUGAAUCUUGAAUGAGACGGACCUCCUGUAUGGCAGCCGCCCUCCUCACUGAGCGUUUUUGUGAAAGUUUCAAGGUCCGUCUGAGAGAGCAAAUCCUCCUCGGUGAUCGUUCGAAGGUGCCCAAGGUGUCUGUCGGCUUUGUGCACAAAAGAGGGAAGUGAACACAUUCCAUAGUGGUGAAACAAAGCUGUUUUCCAAACCACUGAAAGUGUUUACAGAUGUGCAGUCAAAUUUUACAUCUUGAAAGUCAUCUCAGCACCAAUGACUCUUAAAUAUAUAACAUUAAAAACUGCUGCAAUUCUGUCAGCGAGCACAAAAGGCUUUUCAAGAGAAUAAAACACACACACACAAACACUAACUUAACUUGAUGAAAUGUAAAUCUCUGUGACACAGCAAUGUUCAUUUGUGGCGUUUUCUUAGGCACUGAGAGGGGGAGGAAAAUAAUCAUAGCACAUGUCCUCAGACUCGCAGACUUGUGCAUGGAGACCAGAUGCUGCUCCAGCGGGACUGUGUCUGGAAUCGGCCUGCUGGGAAUUGGUUAGUCAAUCCCAGACGCAGAGGCCUCGUUUACACCUGGUACUGACACCGGCUGAUCUGAACACAACUGGCUUAAUACAGUUCUGUCAUGACAACUC
Molecule: long non-coding RNA, 1095 nt
Organism: Carassius carassius (crucian carp)
Lineage: Eukaryota; Metazoa; Chordata; Actinopteri; Cypriniformes; Cyprinidae
Exons: 3
Source: RefSeq, a predicted model, not a curated record